GGGCUUAUAGUUUAACGGACAGAAUAGAAGGCUUCGGACCUUCAGACCUGGGUUCAAUUCCCAGUAAGCCCA
RNAcentral lists this transfer RNA (72 nucleotides) under archaeon GW2011_AR20. RNAcentral's name for it is "tRNA-Arg". It matches the Rfam family "tRNA". From Rfam's summary of the family: Transfer RNA (tRNA) molecules are approximately 80 nucleotides in length. Their secondary structure includes four short double-helical elements and three loops (D, anti-codon, and T loops). Further hydrogen bonds mediate the characteristic L-shaped molecular structure. tRNAs have two regions of fundamental functional importance: the anti-codon, which is responsible for specific mRNA codon recognition, and the 3' end, to which the tRNAs corresponding amino acid is attached (by aminoacyl-tRNA synthetases). tRNAs cope with the degeneracy of the genetic code in two manners: having more than one tRNA (with a specific anti-codon) for a particular amino acid; and 'wobble' base-pairing, i.e. permitting non-standard base-pairing at the 3rd anti-codon position. RNAcentral also lists the same sequence under 1 other name. The record is from RNAcentral.